GAUGAACGCUGGCGGCGUGCCUAAUACAUGCAAGUCGAGCGAACAGACGAGGAGCUUGCUCCUCUGACGUUAGCGGCGGACGGGUGAGUAACACGUGGAUAACCUACCUAUAAGACUGGGAUAACUUCGGGAAACCGGAGCUAAUACCGGAUAAUAUAUUGAACCGCAUGGUUCAAUAGUGAAAGACGGUUUUGCUGUCACUUAUAGAUGGAUCCGCGCCGCAUUAGCUAGUUGGUAAGGUAACGGCUUACCAAGGCGACGAUGCGUAGCCGACCUGAGAGGGUGAUCGGCCACACUGGAACUGAGACACGGUCCAGACUCCGACGGGAGGCAGCAGUAGGGAAUCUUCCGCAAUGGGCGAAAGCCUGACGGAGCAACGCCGCGUGAGUGAUGAAGGGCUUCGGAUCGUAAAACUCUGUUAUUAGGGAAGAACAAAUGUGUAAGUAACUAUGCACGUCUUGACGGUACCUAAUCAGAAAGCCACGGCUAACUACGU
RNAcentral lists this ribosomal RNA (496 nucleotides) under uncultured bacterium. RNAcentral describes it as "partial 16S ribosomal RNA". It matches the Rfam family "Bacterial small subunit ribosomal RNA", at positions 28 to 506 of the family's 1533-position model. The record is from RNAcentral.